RNAcentral lists this ribosomal RNA (824 nucleotides) under uncultured marine bacterium. RNAcentral describes it as "bacterial SSU rRNA". It matches the Rfam family "Bacterial small subunit ribosomal RNA", at positions 60 to 883 of the family's 1533-position model. The record is from RNAcentral.
AGUCGAGGGGUAACAGAAAAGCUUGCUUUUGCUGACGACCGGCGCACGGGUGCGUAACGCGUAUGCAACCUACCUCAUACUGGAGGAUAGCCCCUGGAAACGGGGAUUAAUACUCCAUAGUAUCACAAUUUCGCAUGUUAUUGUGAUUAAAGUUUUUCGGUAUGAGAUGGGCAUGCGUCCCAUUAGCUUGUUGGUGAGGUAACGGCUCACCAAGGCAACGAUGGGUAGGGGGCCUGAGAGGGUGGUCCCCCACACUGGUACUGAGACACGGACCAGACUCCUACGGGAGGCAGCAGUGAGGAAUAUUGGUCAAUGGAGGAAACUCUGAACCAGCCAUGCCGCGUGAAGGAUGACGGCCCUAUGGGUUGUAAACUUCUUUUAUAGAGGAAGAAACUUGUCUACGUGUAGACAACUGACGGUACUCUACGAAUAAGGAUCGGCUAACUCCGUGCCAGCAGCCGCGGUAAUACGGAGGAUCCAAGCGUUAUCCGGAUUCAUUGGGUUUAAAGGGUCCGUAGGCGGAUUUUUAAGUCAGUGGUGAAAGCCGACAGCUCAACUGUCGAACUGCCAUUGAUACUGGAAAUCUUGAGUACAAAUGAAGUAGGCGGAAUGAGUCAUGUAGCGGUGAAGUGCAUAGAUAUGACUCAGAACACCGAUUGCGAAGGCAGCUUACUAACAUGUAACUGACGCUGAGGGACGAAAGCGUGGGGAGCGAACAGGAUUAGAUACCCUGGUAGUCCACGCCGUAAACGAUCAUCACUCGCUGUUGGCGAUAUACUGUCAGCGGCCAAGCGAAAGUAUUAAGUGAUGCACCUGGGGAGUAC